UAGCCCUACGGGACGCAGCAGUGGGGAAUAUUGCACAAUGGGGGAAACCCUGAUGCAGCGACGCCGCGUGAGUGAAGAAGUAUUUCGGUAUGUAAAGCUCUAUCAGCAGGGAAGAUAAUGACGGUACCUGACUAAGAAGCCCCGGCUAACUACGUGCCAGCAGCCGCGGUAAUACGUAGGGGGCAAGCGUUAUCCGGAAUGAUUGGGCGUAAAGGGUGCGUAGGCGGCCUGCUAAGUCUGGAGUGAAAGGUACCGGCUCAACCGGUACAGGCUCUGGAAACUGGCGGGGUAGAGAGCCGGGGGGG
Molecule: ribosomal RNA, 305 nt
Filed under: uncultured bacterium
Lineage: Bacteria
Description: bacterial SSU rRNA
Rfam family: Bacterial small subunit ribosomal RNA
Source: RNAcentral